UACGGAGGGUGCGAGCGUUAUCCGGAUUUAUUGGGUUUAAAGGGUGCGUAGGCGGGCUUUUAAGUCAGCGGUAAAAAUUCGGGGCUCAACCCCGUCCGGCCGUUGAAACUGGGGGCCUUGAGUGGGCGAGAAGAAGGCGGAAUGCGUGGUGUAGCGGUGAAAUGCAUAGAUAUCACGCAGAACCCCGAUUGCGAAGGCAGCCUUCCGGCGCCCUACUGACGCUGAGGCACGAAAGUGCGGGGAUCGAACAGG
RNAcentral lists this ribosomal RNA (252 nucleotides) under uncultured bacterium. RNAcentral's name for it is "partial 16S ribosomal RNA". It matches the Rfam family "Bacterial small subunit ribosomal RNA", at positions 524 to 776 of the family's 1533-position model. The record is from RNAcentral.